AAAAAAAAUCCUUAGCUCAGAAGCGAGCGAGUCACCGUAUCAGACAGAACGCUCCUGCGUAAUAUACGCUCUGAGUUAACAUUUCUGGUUUUAUUGACUUACGAAGACCACCCGCUGACCAUGUCGCUACCCGAAAGUGGAAAUACUCCAACAUAUAUAUAUAUACAGUCGUGGCCAACUAAUUAGGGACAAUCUCUAGUUAAGCCAAAUUGUGAAUUUUUUUUUUAUUUUCCAUCGAGUCUUAGCUAUAUUCCAUAUCUUUUACAUGUAAGUGUAAUUAGUCUUUUAAGUGCGCGAUUAUACAAACAAUAACAACUUCUUAAACAUUAAACCUCUUUACAGUAUAGCUGAUACAAUAUCAUAGUGCUAUUGGUUCAAAGAAUGCUGGCUGGCCAUUUAAUUAGGGACACUGAGGUAUUGCGUUCUAAUUUCAAAAUUGGAAUUUUAAUACUUUUUUGUUUCUUUUCUUAUUGUUUAGUGGUCGUUUUGGCGGCAAUCCAGAUUUUUUAUUUUAAGUUUUGAGAAUUAUUUUGAAGAAAAAUGGCCAAAAAUAAAAGUUGCGAUCCAACACUACGAAAAAUUAUCGUUAUCGUUAAAAAUAAAAGUUUAUCGAGCGUGGUUGGUCAUACCGAAGGAUAGCACAACAUUUAAAUUGUUUAAAAACUAUGGUAUGCAAUGCAGUGCAACAUUUCAAGCGCUAUAACACAGCUUCAAAUGUGUCCAGAACAAAAAGAUCGAGAAAAACGACUCCGCAAGAAGAUAGAAUGAUAACCAGGCUAGCUAAGAAAGAUCCGUUUCUAGGCUCUUUUUUAAUUAAACACGAAGUGUUUGGGGCCAACGAAAGAGCCGGUGUAUCUGCGAGGACCGUUCGACGACGUUUGGUAGAAGCAGGGUUGUUCGGAAGAGUGGCUCGCAAAGUACCGUUGUUGAAGAAACAACAUAGAAAUGCUCGUUUGGCAUUUGCACGUAAAUAUGGACAUUGGACCUACGCCCAAUGGCAACAUGUACUUUUCUCUGACAAGACCAAGGUUAAUUUGAUUUCUUCAGAUGGAAGACAAUAUGUACGGCGUCCUGUAAAAGCGGAAAUGAAUCCAAGAUUCACAAAAAAACGGGUGAAACAUGGCGGUGGAAACAUUAAAAUAUGGGGUUCAUUUUCUGGACGUGGAGUGGGGCCUGUGAGGAAAGUUUAGGGUAACUUAGACCAACAUCAAUAAAAGGCAAUAUUGGAUGAAACUAUGCUUCCCUAUGCUGAGGAGCAUCUCCCUAUUAUAUGGACGUUUCAGCAGGAUAACGACCCGAAACAUACCGCCCAUUCAGUCAAGUCGUUUCUUACCAGUCAGUUUGUAUCGGUGCUAGAUUGGCCAGCAAAUAGCCCGGACCUUAACCCAAUUGAGCACCUUUGGCACGAAAUCAAGAAAAAAGUUGCCACUUAUCGUAAUACAAAUUUGGAUGAACUUCAUGAAGCUUUUUGUGAGGCAUGGGCAAACAUUCCUGUCGAAACAUGUCAGAAACUGAUAAUGUCUAUGCCACAUCGGUGUCAAGCGGUAAUUACUAACAAAGGUUUUGCUACUGUGUACUGAUUUUACACGUAAUAAAAUGGAGCUGUUAAAAAUAUUAUAACACUGAAGAUUAUAAGUUUUGUGUAACUGUAUUUUUCAUUAUAGUUUACUGUCCUUAAUUAAAUGUCCACUACAGAAUUGUACCUUAAUAUUUAAUACAUGUUUAAUCUUUGAUAUUAAAUACUUUUUCUAUUUAUUAAAUCUUUUAUUUACAGCCAUUUAUAGCAUAAUAAUCGGAUCACAUUAUGCAAAUAAUAGGUGCUGAGAAAUCAAUAGGGUUUUAUAUUUAAAUGUACAUAACCGGUUAUAGCCCUUCACUAUCUUAAAUGUCCCUAAUUAGUUGACCACGACUGUAUAUACCUAGUCAGGUCAUAAAUUCUGUCACAUGUUUAAUGUAAAAUAAUUGAAACAAGUUUAUUCAUUAUGUAACCAUUCAUAUACCAAAAUAAACUUAACAAAACAUAGAUUCUUAUGACACUAAAGUUUAUUCAAAAUGACCUCCGUGAUUUUAAAUACAGGCCUUCAAUCUGCGCGGCUAGUCAUUUAUCGCAGCACAAACGAGGUCCAUGUCAAUAUCGGCGGCUGCCUUAAUCAAGGAUGUCUUGAGUGACUCCAAAUUGGGAUGAGGCUUUGAGCUCGCCUUUUCCUCCAAGUGUAGUCAUAUCUUGUAAUCUAACGGAUUCAAAUCUGGACUGGAGGAGGGCCAGUCUUCGUGCCGGAUGAAGUCGAUUUCACGCGCCGCCAGCCAGUCUUGUGUGCUCUUCGCUCUAUGAUCUGGCGCCGAAUCUUGUUGGAAUACCCAGUGCCUGUUAUUGAACAUGGUAUGAGAAACAGGUUCCACAAGGUUCGUCAGGACUGUAUUUUGAUACACAACUGCAUUCGUUUUUACACCUUUCUCACAAAAAUGUACCUCUGUUAAGCCCCAAUAAGAAACUGCCAACCAUACCAUGAGCGAGGAUGGAAAAUGACCUCGUUGGACACGCGGAAUACGGUUGCUCGCUUCUUCACUACUGUGUGCGUACACCUUAUCAUUUUGUUUGUUGUAGUUCUCUUCUACGGUAAAAUUUUUUUCAUCCGAAAAAAGAAUUUCCCGAUAUUUUUUUCCCGCAUACCGCUUCAACAAAGCGCGGCAUCUCUUCAGUCUCAGGUCCAUUAGACGAGCAUUCAAACGAUGUCCUGUUUUUCUUCGGUAUGCCCGAAGCCCUAAGUCUUCAUUUAACACCCUUUUCACCGUGGUUCUGCUUAACCCCAUCUGAAGGGCCAACAGUUUCUGCUUAUCUUUGAAUUCGCGCCUUCACGGCUUUUAUCACUGCUGGAGUCCUAACAGACCGAGAGCGACCACUUCUUGACCUGUCAUCUACACUAGAGUCUUCAUUGUAUCGUUUGAUGGUACGAUAAACGAAUCUUUUGGUUAUAUUCAAAUUUUUCAGUAUGUUAAAAAUUUGAAUUGGCGCGUAACCGCAACGAUGCAACGCAAUAACUGCAACACGGUCUUCUUUAAGCGUCCACUCCAUAUUUAAAAAAGAGUAAAAUUCUAAAAGUAUACAUUUUUAUUUUCAUGAACAAUUCGAAAUUCGAAUUCAAUAAACUUUUUUGUGGCCAGCAUUCUAAAAGAAAAGUUUUUACUGUGUGACAGUACUUAUGACCUGACUAGUUAUAUAUUAUAUAAAUAAGUAUUGGAAUAAAGGGUUAAUUAACGGCUGUUUUCAAUAACAUAUCUAUCCGUAGUUUUGAUUACCAAAGAUAGAAAAAUAUAUCCUUUUGUCCUUACUUGCGUUUCAAUAACCUAUCGACGGCUAGCAGUUCCUAUCGAAUUUAUCUAUCCAUCGUCGGAAGGACGGAUAGCCUACUAAAGAUAGAAGACUCAUACAAAUCGUGCUUACUCCCGUUUUAAUAUUAGUUUUAAGUAACUCUCCGAUAGGCAACCCCAUCUCUAGUAAGGGCAUUCGCUUAUCUGUCAAAAUCGACCGGUUCAUGUUUACCUUUUCAAAAUAAUUCGUUAUAAUUUAAUUAAUGUUUCUUUUCAUAAUGGCAUAUUGUAGCAGUGAUGAUAGUGAUAUGGAAUUAUUUCAAAUGAUGAUAGAUUGUAAUGCAGAUAGUGAUCAUAUCUUACGGUUAAAGGAAAAUAAAGAACGUCUGAAUUGAUGGCUAAGUCGACUACGACUUUGCUUAUAGAUUUCUGAGCCAAGGUGUUGGGAAAUGAAUUGACUAAUUAAAUAAGACCAUAUUUGGGUGUAACAUCAAAGAGGAAAGAUAAAUUUAAACCAUAAAAGUAGUCGUUAUUACAACUUAUAUUUUUGUUGUGUUACAAAAUCACACUCAACAGGAAUUGUAAAAUAUAAUAUUGCUCGAUUCCAUAUACAUAUGCAAUAUAUGACAUUCAUAUACUAAUAAAAUAACCUGGUAGGUUAUUUACCUUCAUUCUUAUUAUAUGCAUACUGAUAUCUCUACAUUUUACAUGUGUUACAGAUUCAAAUAUGGGAGAGGAAUUGAGAAAUAGAAAAUGAGUAUUUUCCAUGAAUGUGCAAGUUGAGUGCAAUGCAUCAUUGAUGUUGUUCGGUGGCCUGGGUCUACUCAUGAUGCAAUUGUAUUUAACCAUUCUGAUUGUAAAAGUAUAUUCUUAUUUAGGUGUUCAUAUGAAUUUAUGCUUGUGUUAAUAUGACACUAUUAUAAUAAAUGAUCUACAUAUCAAGAGAACAUUGAGAACAAGGUGUACUUGGAAAUUGCCGGUUGCAUGGUGAUAGUGUCCCACAACCCUAUCUUUUAUCUCCAUUAAUUAACCCACAUACUCAGUCGGAACGAUUAUAUAAUGAAUCACACAUUAAAUCCAAGAAAUGCUAUAGAGAGUUGCAUUGGUGUUUGUAAAAGAAGAUUCUCUGUAUUAUUAUUGAAAAGUUGAUUAAAACUAGAAGAUAUGCAAGCUGUCAUUACAGUCACUGCCAUGCUGCAUAAUAUCGUCAGGAGUAUGAAUUUAGAAGAAUUAGAAUCGAAAAUUUCUGUCCCAGAUACGUUACAGGAAAAUAAUAUAAUUCGGUCGGUCGUAUAAAUCGGUACGGACUAACCAGCGGAGAAAGAAAGCCACAGGUGCGUAAAACCUGGACCCUGAUGGAGAGCAGCGGUAGCCAUGGGUACCAAAGUGAAAUGAAAGAACCAUAUGUUCUGAACUAAUUCACUCUUGGAUUACUAUAGUCACUGAGGCUAUAGUACCGCGAUGUAGAAAGUAACGGGAACCUACUACUUUAUUAAUCCCAUGAGAGUUGCAAUGAUGAGUAAGAAAACAGACGAUGUAAGACAACCCAAUAGAAGUAGGACAUCAGGUCAGAAAUGGUAGCAAUAUUGAGAGCUAUGUUGUUACGUUGUAACAAAGUUCUAAAAAUAUAAUGGUGGGCACAUCGGUGCCAUCAGAGGCUGCAUUCGGAAGCGGCGCAGGUAAUGACUCAACAAAGGAAUAGAUUAAAGGGUAAAAGAUUAGGUAAAAUUUUGUUUUUACAAAGUAUAGAUAAAAAUAUUGGCAUAUAUAUUAAAAAUAAAUGUUAAGGUAAUAAAGUAAUUUUAAUACA
Molecule: long non-coding RNA, 5119 nt
Organism: Bombyx mori (domestic silkworm)
Lineage: Eukaryota; Metazoa; Arthropoda; Insecta; Lepidoptera; Bombycidae
Exons: 2
Source: RefSeq, a predicted model, not a curated record